GGAUAGCCUAGAUGGAGAGAGGACUCUCCCAUUAUAUAUAUAGAUUCUAUACAUUAUAAUUUCGGAAAAUAAAAAUCAAAUUUUUCAAAAAAUUAUUUUACAUAAUUUACAUAAUUUUUAUACAAAUAUGCAAAAUCCUUAAACAGUAACUUAAAAAAAAUUACAAUGAAAUAGAGAAAUAGGUGACUCUAACUUAUUGAAAAACAAAACGAAGAGCUUCGUGCUGUCUAACGUACUUGAAUCAUUUAAUAAAACCAUGUUUAAAUAUCAGAACUUCUUGGUUUUGCUCCUCUUGACCUCUUGAGAAAUUAAUAUGACCAUUUCCAAGACUUCUCUUCUCACAUUCAGGAAAACACUGAUACAUCUCUCUCUUCUUAUUCGGGAGAGAAUUGAUACAUUGAUGAUUUUCUGUGGCCUGGCAUCCAAUUUCGGCUACAACUCUUUUCACCUCUUUAGCAAUUUCCUUGAUAAAAUCGGCUUCUGAACUGCAAAAAAUUGUAAGUUGAUUGAAAGCAUGCUAUUUUGUGAAUGUACUUUUCGUUCAUAAAACGAAACAUAAAACCAAAACAAACACGUGUUGUUGUAUCCAUAAUCCUUAAGAUCCACACAUCUUUAACAUUAUCUUUAUCACACCAAAAAAAAAAAAAGAUUCCAAGUCCCUUGGCAUGUAUACGUUUCUCUCAAACAUGAUUUGUUCUUUUUCUUGAAAAUAGUAGUAUUUAAAUGUGAAAAAAAAAAAUUAAAGAGAUAAGAUGAGAUAGUGAUGUGUGUGCAUGAUUGAUAAAUAAAAUAACAUUUGCUUAAAAACAUGUGCAUAUUCUAUAUGAAUUUAAGAAAGCAUAUGCGAUAAAUGAACCAACUUAUCUACAUUCAUUUGUUUUAGUAAAUACUACUCCCUCCGUUUCAUAAAGAGUGUCGUUUUAAGGUUUUAUUUUUGUUUCAUAAAGAGUGUCGUUUUAGGUUUUCAAUGCAAAAUUUAAUGUUUUUUAAUGUUUUAUGACUAUUAGUAUUCUGCAUAUUGUUUUACUAUUGGGCAGAUUAUGUUUAGGUAUAUAGUUAAUGAUGUUUUUGUUUAGAAAAAACAAAAAAUUUAAUGUUUUCUUAAUCUGUGUGCAAAACUCUAAAAUGACACUCUUUGUGAAACAGAGGGAGUAUAACAUAAAAUGACAAAAUAAUUUGAGAUCAAAUCUUUUUUUUAUGUCAAACGUGAAAUUAACUUAAAAAAAAAGGGUAAAUUUCAAGUUAUGGCAGUUGACCAAGUUUUAUUUUCAAGUUUUGGCAAAGUGAGAAUGAGCUUUCAUGUUUUGACAUUUUGGCCAAAAUCUGACCAUUUUACCCUUACCGAUGUACUGUUCACUGUACGGUUUAGUUAAGCGUACGGUUCAGUUAAGCGGUUCACUGUACGGUUCAGUUAAGAGGUUUAGUUACGUACACUGUUCCGGUUACGCAAUAUAUUUCGCUCUUAAUUGAUUUUGUGCGGGAGUACAGUGACAAGUUGGGAAUAAAAACAUUAAAACACAAUGAGACAUCAGUAUUUAAUGCCCAAAAAGUUUAGACAUGACUCAUGUCACAAUUAAUGCAAAAGUCAUCAUUACUUUUCUAAUAUUAGUUUUUAUGCGUGAAUAGUUGUAAGAGACAAACAUGAUCCAUGAAACAAACAAAUUUUUCUGAACGAAUGUGAUUCUGCAUCGGUUUGAUCUUCUUGAUUUACAAAGUUUGGAGCCAAGACAAGCAUUGAACGUGUAAGUAAUGAAAUUGGUUAAGAAGUUUUUUGUUUUAACACACUAGGGUCUUGAUUGUGUGCUAAGAUCAACAUUGUUUUUAUAUAAAAACCCAGAAUAUUUUUAUUUCCACUUUUUUUAGUUGAAAUUGCUAAAUGAGGAUAGAUUUAUGUUUAUAAGUGUGUAGUUGGGAAUUCUUUUUGUUUUUUGUAGAUAUAAUCAUGCUUUCAUUUGCAUUUAAUGGGGUUCUGCUGAAUUUAUGAUGCAGGUUGGUAAUGGAUAUUCCCGUAUUUACUAUGGUGGGUGAGUGGAAAUGCAAAGAAGAAGAAUGGAAAUUUGAACCAUGGGAAGGCUGGUUUGGUCGUUGUGUACGUGUUAGGCAAAACAUGACGUACACGGAAUUUGUACGUACAUUAUGCGAGGUUUUCAGUUUGAAGUGCACCGAAUGCAAUCCAAUAAUUAGUUACUGGAUGCCGGGAAAGAUGUCAGUGAUGAUAGAAAGUAAACGCCCUCCUGUAUACAUUGACAAUCAAAUGAACCUGGAUACAUUCUUUUUGAUUCGUGGUGGGGAUCCUAGUGUCACCUUGUUUGUCUCUUUCAAGGCACUCGGGAAUACUGUCCCUAGGACCGAUGGUGAGAGUUACCGUGUGUGUGGGAGUGCAACGACACCAAAUCCCAUCGUAGCGGCUUCAAAUGUAGAUGGAAAUAAUGAGGCCGUAGAUGAGCAAGACGACGUUGAAGACGAUAAAACAGAUGAGGAUGAAGAAGAGGAGGAGGAAAACGAAGAUGGUGCUGGGUAUGAUGAUUAUCAGGGUGAUGAUGGAUCUAUGGGGGGAAGUACCCUCGAUCCUACUAUAGACGGUAGUGAAGGCAGUGGCGAAGAUUACGAUUACAACAAGUGGAACGAUUUAAUUAUUGAAGAAUAUGGAAUAGGGAAUGUUGAGGAGGACGUCAUUCUCACUCAACAAACGGUUCAACAUCCAGGGGAAUUCAGUCGUCUAUUGGCAGAGUGUACGUACACAAGUCAUCGUGUACGUGGGGGAGAUAACUCGGUUGACCUUACACCAACGGUGACUCCAAGACGUACGUGUCAACAUGGUUUGUACCAAUGUACGUACACAACAGAAUGUGUACAAGAUACAGGCUGCGAAGGUAACACCGAUCCCAAUAUUAAUGGUAUAGACGAUGUCUCUGGGGAUGAUGUUAUCGACCGUGGUAUUGGAGAUUCCCCAAGUGGGACACUGAAUGAUAAUCGGCUAGUUACUGCACCUGGCGGAGAUAACAUUUCUCAUUCGGGUGACCGUACACCAACGGUGACUCCAAGACGUACGUGUCAACAUGGUUUGUACCAAUGUACGUACACUACAGAGUGUGUACAAGAUUCAGGCUGCGAAUGUAACACGGAUACCAAUAUUAAUGGUAUAUACGAAGUCACUAUCGACCGUGGUAUUGGAGCUCCCGCAAAUGGGACACUGAAUGAUAAUCGGUUAGUUACCGCAGCUGAGGCUUACGAAGUGUAUAAUGACUUUUCUACAUUACAUGGUGGCGAGUUGGAGAUUCUCGAUAAUGAUGCUGCUCCGGUAUUCGAUGAUUUAGCCAAUUUACGAGAUGAUGAGACACAAGUCGAACUGAGUACGACAGGUGAGACUUUGUAUGUCGGGAGUGUUUUUAAGAACAGAAAAGUCAUACAACAAACAAUGUCUUAUCUCGCAAUCAAACAAUGCUUUUGCUACAAGCAACGUAGGUCAUGUCCUACAAGAUUGGAGAUGGUCUGCGUUGAUGAUACUUGUCCAUGGCAUUUGACAGCUCAAGUUGUCAAGAAUUCAGAAUGUUUCAAAAUCACAUCGUAUGAUACCACCCAUACGUGUGACAUCGACACUCGUAAGCAUUAUAAUAAACAUGCUAGUUAUAAGCUUCUCGGAGAGGUAGUGAAGAGCAGAUACAGUUCUACGCAAGGGGGUCCGAGAGCUGUCGAUUUACCACAGUUGCUCCUAAAUGAUCUCAAUGUUCGGAUUUCAUAUUCUACCGCUUGGAGAGCAAAAGAGGUUGCAGUGGAAAAUGUAAGGGGGGAUGAUAUAAAAAGUUACAGGUUUUUGCCUACCUAUUUGUAUCUUCUUAAAUUAGCUAAUCCGGGUACGAUAACUCACCUACACUCUACACCUGAAGCUGAUGGUACGCAGCGCUUUAAGUAUGUUUUUGUAUCUCUCGGGGCUUCUAUAAAAGGUCUGAAGUAUAUGAGGAAGGUAAUUGUCGUAGAUGGAACGCAGCUAGUAGGACGUUACAAGGGAUGUCUCCUCAUUGCAUGUGCCCAAGACGGGAACUUCCAAAUAUUUCCAAUAGCGUUUGGUGUUGUGGAUGGUGAGACUGACGCUUCAUGGGUGUGGUUCUUUGAUAAAUUAGCUGACAUUGUUCCAGACAGUGAAGAAUUAAUGAUUGUAUCGGACAGACAUUCUUCAAUAUAUAACGGCCUCAGUGUGGUUUAUCCGAAAGCUCAUCAUGGUGCAUGUGCAGUACACCUUGAGCGAAAUAUCUCCACCCAUUAUGGUAAGUAUGGUGUAUCUGGAUUAUUCUUCAGCGCUGCUAAAGCUUACAGAGUGAGAGAUUUUGAAAAAUACUUCGAACAGUUAAGGGCUAAGAGUGCUGCAUGCGCAAAUUACUUAGAGGAAAUUGGAUUUGAGCAUUGGACAAGAGCUCACUGUAAAGGGGAACGCUACAAUAUCAUGUCUAGCAACAACUCGGAGUCUAUGAAUAAUGUCUUAACAAGAGCCAAAUCAUAUCCGAUUGUGUACAUGAUAGAGUUCAUUCGAGAGGUCCUAAUGCGAUGGUUCGCAGCGAGGAGGCAAAAAGUGGCUAGGUGUAAGUCUUUAGUGACGCCUGAGGUUGAUGAGCGUUUUCUCCAAGAUUUGCCUGCGUCAGGGAAUUCGCGGUUAAGAUGUCUGGACCGUGGAGUUAUCAACUUACAAGCAAGUUAGGUGAGCAUUUUCAUGUCGUUCUGGACGAGUGUACGUGUACGUGUCUUAGGUACACAAAGUUGAGAAUCCCAAGUGAACACGGUCUAGCAGCUGCAAUCGAGUUUGGAAUAGAUCCGAAGGUUGUUGUAGGAUGGUGGUAUGGCCUUCAAACGUUUUCCGAUUCUUUUCAAGAACCGAUUCUACCAAUCGCGGAUCCGAAGGAUGUUGUCAUCCCACAACAUAUAUCGGAUUUGAUACUAAUUCCUCCAUACUGUAGACGACCACCAGGAAGACCAACAACCAAAAGGAUUCCAUCUAGAGGUGAAAACCGGGUAAGUGCUAUCAUUCAAACGUUUUGAGUAUAAGAUGCGUAGAUUAUUAACUUAUUGUUGUUGUCAUUUCAGAAAAAGAGACAGAAAAGACUUAUUCCGAAUCAGUGCACACGAUGUAGACAAGCAGGUCAUAACAAGAAGACUUGCAAAAAUCCUAUUUAGUUCUCCUCAAAAGCCUUAUGUCUCCGCGAAGACAGUGUACGUUUAUGUGUGGACAGUGUGUACCAAAGUGUUGUGACGGUGUACGUACGUUUAAUAUUUGCCAGCGUAUAACUAUGUACGUUUUCUGAGUGUACGUUUUGUUAGUGUACGUGUUUGUUGUGUCUGUGUACGUAUAAUCUUCAUGCAAUAAACGGUUACAAACGGUUACACACAUUUGUAUCUCAACCGUUGGAACACUUUCGCACUACCCACCGCGUCCGUUACGGAAUUUCCUUAUUUAAGCCACAUCUCCUCCUCAAUUUUAUCCACAUUCCUUCAAACGAAAACCCUUUCCCACAUCGGCAGUUACAUCAAUCAAACACAAAGUCUUUCGAUUGUUCUUGCUAACCGUGUGAUGGACGGGUAUCACACCAUCUCUGAAUUGUGUCCUCAGAUCACUGGGUGGACAAUUUGUGUAUUUGUCGUGAGAGUGUUUAAGAAGUUUGUUGCGCCCAACAUCUUCGAACUCGGCCUUAUCUUGGCAGAUAAUUCGGUAGUUUCCCUGUGCCGUGUUUGUGUUUUUUUAUCAUACGUUAGGUUCUAUUCUAUAUAAAUCUGUUAUAUAUCAUAUUCUGUAGGGAUCCCGUUCCCGUAUCGAGGCCACCAUUGAUCGUCGCCUUGCUCCUUUUUACAUAGACCGAAUCAAAGAAAAUGAGUGGAAAAUUGUGACCACUUUCUUGGUCCGUAACGUCGCUGACCCAGUGAGAGCAACAUCUCAUGACUACGGCAUAUGGUUUAUGGAUCGGACCGUCGUUACUAACGCCUUACGAAGGGACCCAAUAUCGUUUUACGAUUUCACUCAAUUCGACUACAUUUUGGAGAAAACAGUUGAUACUAAAGUUUUAGUCGGUGAGAUGUUUUUUAAGUUACGUUUUAUUUACACAUUUUUGAAAUUAGAAGUUUAUUUCUAUUUUAUGGCCCUUGAUAUGUAGAUGUCAUUGGAGCGUUGUUGGAGGUUGGCCACUUGACCAGAGACUUCGACGGUCUCAAGCUUCCUUUCAAGAUCAAAGAUAGAUAGUAAAUGUUCUUUUCACAUUUGAUUCACUUACACUUUUUAAUCUAAACGCUGACUUGAUUCUUCUUUUAAUAUAAUGUAGCAACGAAGUUUUGGAAUGCGAAGCACACAAUGAACAGGCGUUGGAAUUCCAAACCUUCUUUCGGAGUCUAGGUCAGCGCAAUGUUGUUGUCGCACUCGUCUUCUGGCGUUUAACCGACAGAGCUAAUCCUAAGGUUGUGAGUCAUGGUCCUGUGUCAAAGGUCUUUGCCGAUCCGGACACACCGGAAGUGGAAGAGAUCAAGCAGGUCGUUUUUUAGAUAGGGGGAUUUGUUUUCCCCAGUCUUCUUAUUAUUAAUGACCAGAUUUAUAUUAAGUAUUGUAAAACUACAUAAACUUGUUGUCGUUUUCUAAUUACUUGAAUUUGUAUAAUAAACUAUUGGGUAACUGUACGUACAUUUUAUACGUACAGUGUCUUCAAUUACAAUUAAUUUGCCAGUGUACGUUUUACUAGCUUUUUGGUUCUUCAAUCAGCAAAUUGUACGAAACCCGUGUUCGUACACGAAAACAUACAUAUAUCAUAUUUUUUGUCCUCAAACAACAAAAACUUCAUUCAUUCAUAAUUAAAUGCCCGAAGAAGGACAUACAUUUAAGAAAGACAAACUAUAUAUUAGAUGCGGAAGCAAUAAACUAAAAAGUAGAGCCCGAAGCAUACACAUGAGCCGGAAAAUUGUAUGCCUCAUCCGUCAUUAUCAAAGUCAUAUCUAAUAGAAGACACACAUCUUCCUCGCGUACCAGUAAAAGAAACACCCUCUGCAGCCGGAACUGUACGUGCAACGGCCAAGACAUGCCGGUGUGUGCACAUACCUCCAUGAACGUUGCCAGAGCCGAGGACCUUCGGUGUGAAGCUGGCUUAUGUGAUACAUCACCAUCUCCCCCACUGCGUGAGCUGCCGCUAAUGUGGGUGUCAUCGCCCAGAACAUAUCGCUGACUGGAAGAAAGUCGACAUGGUUGCCAGUACAAGUUAGGAAUAAGCCGGUCGCGAAGCAGGCGAGAGGGUUGGAUGGAGCGACGGAGUUGAGUAGUGUAAUGCCGUGGGCCACCGUUAGGAAGCUGCUUGCCUGGCGGACACCUUCGAGGUAUAUAGCCGGGAUCGCACCCCUUUCCAGCAAGAGGCUGAAGUAGGCCCUGAAGGGAGACUCCGGCUGCACGAAGUGAGGCCAUGUGAUGAAGUCGUCCAUCACUAUUGCGUUUACGUCACUUGCUUCGACCAAUUGGCGGAGGGUCUCGAUGGGAGUCUGGGAUACGGGCAGGUAGUUGAUGAGGACGGAAAUCGGGUUUGGCAAUUGUAUUGCAAGGUACAUCUCGGUUGGAGGGGUUGCGGGGAAAGCCAUGUUGUUAACAAAGGAGGUUUAGAAAUAAUCUUGCAGUUGAUGAAAGAAGGAAGUUUUAGAAUGAUGUGAGCAAAUAAAUUAGUGUGUGUGAUAUCGUUUAUAUAGGGCCUAAAUAUUGAGUUCAUGUACAUGGCUACAUUUGGGGGGAACGCAUUAAUAAAGUGUCAUUAUUUUUAAAGUUCUUCUUAUCUGACAAAUGCAAGUGUACAUUAAUUGCAAACCGUGUACGUAAAGUAAGGAGAUUUAUGCGAAAAGAUAGAGGUCAUUCUAUGAAUAGAGCUUGGCCGUAUGCAUUAAAUAACCACUCCAAAACUUGUAGAUAUGGGUUAUUACAGGUCAAAUCAAUCAGAAUUGCAUCAUCAUUUACUACCAUCUCGAAAGUCGCUUCUCAUAUUUAUAGUUUUAAACCAACUAAAAUACGUGUACACAGUAACGUAUACCCGUGUACGUAUGUCUACCCUUAUUACGUUCUCUGACUAAAAGUUUGAGUUGAUGUCUGUCGCCGAAUUAGGGGAAAAGAUUGAGUUCAUGUAUAUGGCUAAAUCUGGGGGAAACGCAUUAAAAACCAAAUCUCUUUCUUUUGCAAUUUCGUUUUAUCUGACAAAAGACAGUGUACAUUAAUUACAGGGAUGUGUACGUAUAUAUGUACAUAAAUUUGCGUUUCUUUUUUUUUUUUUUGAAAGAUAGAGGUCAUUAUCAAUGACUAAAUCAGGUCAGUAUGUAUUUACUGAUAAUUCGUAAGCCUCUGUAGACAAGGCACCAUUAUCUAACAUUAAGAAACUUGUUUCUCAAUUUAAUAUAAAAUAUUACAAUUAUUUGUAACCAUUCAUAAGAUUUAGUAGUAUAUGAGAAACAAGCAAGGAUGUAGAUAAAAAGAUAUUCAUUACUGAUAAGCAAAGUACAAUUGCAAAGGCCACAUAUUAUAACAUAAAAACUUAGAAAUUCAGAUAAUAUUACGUAAGAAAUCCCUAGAGAAUUUGAAUAAUUCUUCUCGCACACCACCAGAGGUAACAUACGUUGCACACAUUCUUGAAGGGUCCAGAUCUGAUGUAACACAGCAUCGCGCAAGGAGGCGUUUGAAUACCACGUUCCUCAGGGUACGAAAAUGUUGCGCCGUAUGUGUUGUUUAACCUAAUUCCAUAAUUUUUUAUUUCUUCUAGGAGUUCCUCACACAUGUCACGUGUUUCUUCUGAUUCCAAAGGGUAAUGGUUGUUUGCGAACAGGCGUAGGUACACACCACCCAUGUGAGCAUUCCCGUCGCAUAUGCACAGAAUAGCGCAGGCCAGGGUUGCAUCGGCGUGCCUUGGUACAUUCCGCUGUAAAAGUACAAUGGCGCCCUUAAUGUCAGACUCAUGGGUAACUAGACGCAGUCCUUCAUGGUAAAUAGCAAUCGGGUUACCAGCCUCUAGACACCUUUUGAAAAAGGGUCUAUAUCGACCUUCAGCGUUGAUGUCAUUCGGAUCAUGGCCUACCGCAUGGAAGUCAUCGGGAUCACUGCACAUGCUAUAAAUAUUAGCAUCUUUCAAGACAUCCGGCCUGUAGACAAUGUUUCUUCCACCACGCCCUGAUCUUAACAGAGGUCCGAGGUACCACCAACAUUUGUCAGCCAUUUUUUUGGCUAUCUUGGCUAGCAAAUCUUCAGGUAGAUUUGGUGUAGACAUUUCUAGGAAUUUGGUGUUUCAAAACAAUGCAAUUCCUACUCUUAAAUAAAGAACAAUGAAGUUAGUUGGUUAAGUUAUGGUUGUAGUUAAUGCAAUCUUACGUAAGUGAUGGAGGGUUGUCAAAUCAAUGUAAGUAAGAUGCAGUGGGGGAGGGUUGUCAAAUCAAUGUAAGUAAAGAAAUAGAUAUCUUAUUAUGAGAAAAAUCGACUUUGUGUAAAAGACGUACGUUAUAUAAGAUGUACGUACACAUGUUGGUUUUUGAAUAAGUGUACGAUGUGCAGAUUGUUUAGAGAAGAUAGUUAUAACGAUUACAUAAAUAUUUUGAGGAUCUCCAUAAUUAAUUACGUUGUUCUAAUUAGGUUGUUGAAAUAAGGAAAUAAGUACUAGGAAAUAAAAAUAAUUCAACAUCCAGGGAUGAUUACAAUAAACGCCGGUUACCACACUCGCGCUUGCCGUGCUCGUAGAUUUCUGUUGCGUACACCUGACGGUAGGUGGCCAUAUCUGCUUCUUGAAUAUUCACCAAGUCUGACAUUGGGUUACCAAACGCCAGCAACUCCAAGAACUUCAUUGCGUAAGGCCCGCAAUCUCCUGUACUUGGGUUUUGAGCGACCAUAACAUUUCUCUCAUAGGCAAAAGGUUCAACUGAGUACUUCGCAGGCAAUACAUCCGCGCACAUCGCUCUCACUAGGUACGGCAUCAUCUCGCAGACAGGCUGCAUCUUUGACCAUGCAACAGACUCCCGCGUGUGUUCUAUGAGAGCGUCAUAGACAACUAUAUUCCGGGCUCUGAGGUGGAUUGCCAACCCAACCCAAUGAUCACCUUUCCAGUUCAUCGGAGCAUAUACCACGUCGACAUCCUUGAACCACCUAAGACUAGGUUCACGGUGUAUGUGUAUUCCAUUGGCCAUGUCGUAUAGCCGGUCGCCCCAUUUGAACCCAUGCUUAUUUCUACAAUUCCUGAAGCUGACAGCACGCUUAGUAAGCUCAUAAAGCAGGAAGGAGUCCAAAACAACGCAUCGGUUUGCUAUCAUUUGUUGACCGUUCUUGUGCCACAUCAAGAUUGCGAGCAUUUCCAAGAUCUGAAAUGAUAAUAGCAUAGGCAGUCAGUGUACGUACAAUUCAGGCAUAUUUAAAAAAUGUACAUAAAUGUACUAUUUCAACUUACCAUAUUAUCCACCCACUGUCCUUGUGCUAUAAGCAUGGAGAAAAACUCGUUGUCCACUUUGCGAUACCCGAAAAGAGUGUGCUUCCUGUAUAUCCAAUAUUAUAGUAUGCCUGGUUGUUAUAGAAAACCAAUGUAUCAAUUAAGGGAUAAUUUUGAUAAUGCACGAUACUUACACAUUAAAACCGCGGAGGACAUUGGUUAAGAUCUCUAAUUUGGAAGCAUCAACCUUCUCCAAGGGGUUGUAAGGGACAUUUCCAGCCGCUAUAACAACCUCUGAAUCUUCAGCUCGUCCAGGAACAUCCUGCACGAGGACUGUUGUUUCCUUAAAACCUUCCGGAAGGGCGUCAUCCAUCUCAACAAUUAUUUGCUUCUUCAUUUUUUUGGGUACAACCGGCGUAGGAAUUUUAACAGCUUCGACUGCAGCAUCGUUGUUUGGUUCAUCCUGUAAAGAAGUAUUAUUGUAAACAGCAUGAUUAAACAAUUUCAAAAUGUAAUGAUAAUAUUUACUGAGAAGAUACUCACAAUAUUUUCUAGUGUACCAACUGUCGUGUCUGCUUCAUCUAACCCUGGGUUUGAAUCCUUUUGUUCUUCCACCCCGUCGAUAAUCCCCUGCUGCUCCAACACUCCCUUUUCAAAUUAACGUGCAGAAUUAUUUAAAUGUACGCAUACAAUCCUAUGUACGUAUGUUAAUAACUGUGUAUAAUUUUAAACCAAACACGAGAUUUUUACCUCCUUUACAUUAGCUGCAUCCACAUCCAUGGAGGCUGUCGUUGCCAACUCCUGUAACACCUGCAUAAUAGAAGAUUAUAAAUUUAAACAAGCCUACACUACACUAUUUUAUUUAAAAAUAUAGUUAGCUUACAUUCCUAACUACUGCACAUGGUGAAGGGGGAUCCCCUAGGGUGCCCUCAAGUACUGAGUCAUCCACUUUACUCUCUGCAACUACAUUGGGUACAUCUCCCGCAUCAACCUGUGGCAGUAGUUAUCAACUUCAUCGGCUAUAUACUCUAUUUUGUGAUGUCUGAAACAAUCAUUACUUAUACGUACACGGGAAAUAAGAAAGACAAAUGUACGUACACUUACACCGGGUUCCUCGGUGUGUUCAGCCUGAGAAGAUGUAUCUCUAUCAUUACCCUCAGAAAUUUCUGGUUGCUCCCCAACAUUUGCUUCACUCUCAAGACCGGCACCAUGUUCUUCUCCCUGAAACAAAUAUACCAUACACGUCAUUCAGUGAGUACACAUAUGGAAAACUACAUUUGACUAUUAGCAGACCAUAUACCUGUCCAGAUGUUGCAGGUAAACCUGAUGGAUUUUCUACCAUCUCUGUGUCAGCAGUUGGUUUUUCAUCUGUCCCUCGCUGUGUACCAACUACGACAGGCUCACCACCAUCAAUUGGUCCUUUAUCCUAAAACAUAGUAUACCAUACACUUCUUAAGCUAUAUGUACGUGGAGAACUGAAAAUAAUUGAUAAUGGUACACUUAUGGAAAACAGUAUGUGACUAUUAGCACAAGACAUACCUGUACAGAGGUUGAAGGUACAGGAGAUGGAAUUUCUUCCAUCUCUGUGUCACCACUAGCUUUUUCCUCGGUCCCUGACUGUGUACCAACAAGGACAGACUCACCACCAUCACGUGCUCCUUCAUCCUGAAACAUAGUAUACCAUACACUUCUGAAGCCUAUGUGUACGUACACAACUGGAAAUAAUUGAAAAAAAUAUUUGUACACGACAUACCUGAUGGGAAGGUGUAGGUCCACCAACUGAAAUGUUAGCUACUCCAGUGUCAACCAUACCUUCAUCUCUGUUCGAAAAAUCUCCUCCAUCAUUUACAGAAAAACCACCUUCAUUGUUGGCUUCAUCCUGUACCAUAGCAGACAAGUUACAGUUAUUAAUCUUCAUGUACGUACAUUUAAAAUACUAUAUAUAAAUGUACGUACAUGCCAUACCUGGUCAUCUUCCUCAGAGGAAGAGUUACCAUCAGGAAGCUGAGUAAUCUCAGCAACUGACGUCAUUAUAUUCUUCAGCCUUGAAGACUUUCUUGUUCCAGACUUGAAUACUUUCUUUGUAGACAUCUUUUUAGAUGCCUUCUUCACACUCAUCGGUGCCUUACCCACCGAUUUAUUUGGGCCCUGUGAAGCAUGGGAAGUUUUGGUUGGUUCUGUCUUUUUGACCUUUGGAUCUAAGGCAGCACGAAUCUCCUUACGGACAAAUUUCUUCAAGUCUUCUUGCAUUUGUUUAUUUUGUGCUUCCUGCCUCUUGAAACACCUCCUAAGUUCAACUACAAACUUCUCAAACUGGGGAUCUCCAGAACAAUCCUCAGCAGUGUCCUCAUUUUCUUCUUCCACAACAGAUUUCUGUUUUUUCAAAGAAGGUGCAUUCGGGGCUGGUACAUUUCUUUUCCUCUUCUUCACACCUACGAUAGACCAGUUUAAUCAUUGAUUGGUCUUCAAGGGACAAUAAUCAGAAAGUAUAAAAACAACAUUUACACUCACGUAUCUCUCCAAGUUGUGGUGGGCGCUCCUGCUUUGGAAAUGCAGCAUUACCUCCAACCCAUUCUUCCUCCUUCCACUCAUGACCCGCUAACAACAGUCGCUCAAUGUAAGCAACUCUUGGAUCCUCAACUUCAUCAUCCCAUGACAGGGAUGGAGGACAAAUAUUGUCCUCUGGUUUCACAAGAUAGGUUACCUCAACCUACACCAAUAAGUUUGUUGACCACUUAGAGAAUGUACACUUACUUUUUAAAUAAUGUACGUACAUAAACAAUUGUACAUACCUCUUCAGCAGCCUCACACUCCAAGAUGCUGGAUGUCCUGAUUGCCCGCAGUGAGGCAAGAUGAUGGAUAGACCUCUGAGUAAAUGUCCUGUUAGCUUCAUCAUCAGGUACUAGCUUAGCAAGGGAUGGGAUUGUUUCGAACGCAAACAGCUGGAGUGCUAAUGGGAAUCCAUGUAGUGCAUAAGACCCAUCCUUUACACACCUUAUCAGUUUUUGAGCAUCUGAAGGGGUUUGGAAUUUUGCUAUCCUCUCUAAAGUACGGGUAAAAGACACCCUUCCCCAAGGGUAUUUGCAGAAGAAUUGCACGUCCUUCGUCAUCUCAACAGUGAACUCAGAAGGCCUUAUGGGGUUAUUAUGGCACCCUAUCACACCAUCUACCAAGAUUAUAAGAGAUAAGGCCAGCUGCUUCCACCCAUCCAUGGUUUCCUCCUCCUUCAGCCAGACCACCAAAUCAUGCACUGUUGGAUUCGGCUUCUCCCCAAACUUCUCCUCAAACAGAGUUUUCCAGACACUUUGACUACCAGCUUUAACCUUUAGCACAUCCGUCACGUCUUUCUUGUUGGGAUAUGUCCCACAUUCUAGACCAGUUACCAGACUAAAUUCUCUUAAUCCGAAUUUUAUUGGAUGACCGCCGAAGACCAUCCACAUCUCAUUCACUUUACUCGUCACUAACUGACGACAUAUUAGUCCAAGAACAAGUUUACCUGAGAAGGAAGACUUGUUAGCAGGUAUCCUAAAAAGGUCCCCAAAUGGAGAAUCGAGAAGAAACUGCAUCUCCUCUUUUCCCUUAAGAACUUGUGCUAUAUCAGAAAGGUACUCCGGUUUGGAGUACGCGUUCAUCUUCGUCUUCGCAGGGUACCGGUCUAGGGCAAAGAGUCUAGGUGGUAACUCUUCAACUAUAAGAUCUUCAGUCGGAGCCACGCUUGUACUGCCUGCAAUUACAAGUGAUAUACAAUUAAGUACGGAUGUAUGAAUUCGUGUACGUACACAGUAAUUAUCAACAUUAUAUACUCAACAUCUGAAUUUUGGCGGAAACAGAGAUUUCCAAUUCAACUUCUCAAAUUUUCAAACUACAGAUAUAGCAAAAUCCGGCAACUUCUAUCCCUUUAAUCAAACAAGCUUUAAGAUUCCGAUACACCCAAAGAAACUACAAACGGAAUAAUAUCGGAACUUACCCAAUUCCUCCGGCGGAUUUCUCGGAGGGAGUUUCCUCCUCGGGGAUACUCUGAGUUCCACCUUGUCCUUCUCGGGGCCUUCCUGCGUAUGCUUCUUCCUAGAGACUACGUCGUUUGGUUUAUUCCCAGCCAUCUCGAAGGUUGGUAUCUCGCCGGAAUUCUCAGGUCGCCUUCGCCGGAAAAACUGGAACUUUCUCUUCGCCGGUUUUUCGAGUUCAAUGCAAUGCCUCAAAUCAAGUAGAGAUGUCGAAAACGAAUAUGGAUGAAUGAAUUCCGAACUGAUUUCUACUUCUCUCUCGAAUCUCUCGGAGAUGUCGAACGAAGAUGAUGAAUUCUUCGUUUUCUUGAAUUUUUUUUUUUUUUUUUUCAAAACAAAAAGUAACUAAACCGCUAGAAACUAAACCGUAACGUAACCGUUCACGUUUGGUUUUUCGUCAAGGGCAUUUUCGUCAUAAAAUGGAAUAAUUGCCAAAACAUGAGAAAUGAAUCUCACUUUGCCAAAAUGUGAGAUCAAAUCUUUUUUUUAUGUCAAACGUGAAAUUAACUUAAAAAAAAAAUGACAAAAUAAACACGAUCAGGACUUGUAGUCGUCGAUAUGUUAUCACAUAAUUAAAACUGCAUGUUAUUUGUCAAAACAAAACAAAAAAAAACAUAAAAGCAGAAGCACUAUUACUACCUUUUGUCUCCCAAGGACAGACCCAUCUUGUUGGAAAUACACUCAAGGGCUUCCUUCCACUCCAUGAUCUGAUCUACUCGGGAAGUCUUCGCAAGCGCCCAAAACUUGUCACCAAACUCACCGGUCUGUCCUCUCACAUCUCUUGCCCUAACCUUGUAGAAGAUGGGAAUGACUUGGAGCUUUCCUUUAUCCACACGUUUCUUCAUCUUCACCAGCUCAUCCAUGCACCAACUCGACUCCGCAUACCUGCAGGAUUAUGACGAUACUGUCAAUACAAACUCUAUAAAAUAUCACAAAUGAUUUGACUAGAGUCUAGAGAACAAUAAAAACAUGCGUCUAUAGAGAAUUUUUACCUUUUUUUUUAAUGUAGAUUGAAUGAAGAAUAGAUAUAAGUAUAGGUUAUCUUGACCCAUAAGUCUUUGUUAAUUAACAGUACCUACUAGAGAAGAUAACUAGCGCGAUCUUCGACUCUUUAAUCCUUACAAAAAGGUUUGUCAUGUUUUUUCCCCUUAGCUCCACUACAGGAAAUGAAGGUAUUCAUAGCGUCCGAAAACCGCUAUAUAAAGCUACUAUAGCGUUAUUAGAAACGAUGUAUCUCCGCCCGUUAUAAUAGGUCUGAUACUUUAUAUAGCGGUUGUUUCUUAUGCUAUGGUAUAUUUUUAAUACAUAGCGGUUUUGUAAACGCAAUAUUUAAGUUUACAAUAGCGGUUGUUGUUUGCUAUAUAUAUGGUUAAUUAUUCUAUUAUGAAUUACAAUAGCAGUUAAUAUAUGGUUAUAGAUAGCGUUUUCUUACGUAUAGUUUUAUAUAGAUAGCAUUCAUAUGAAAGUAUUAAAUACGUAUAAUUUUGUAUAGAUAGCGUUUUUGUAGAAGUAAAAUACGUAAAUUUUUAUACGUAUAUUUGUGGAAGUAUAAUAUACGUAUAAUUUCCGAUACGUAUAUACAAGAUUUUAAAAGGUAUAUACAGUAUUUUGUACAUAUAAAAUUAUACAUUUUAUACAAAUGAUGCAUUGUACAAAAGAGUAUUUUUAUACGUAUUUUUAUACUCAUUUUUUUACAAAAAAAAAAUAAGAAAAUACAUAAAAUUUGUUUAUUUACAAAAAAUAAAAUAAGAAAAUACACAAAAUUUGUCUCUUUAGCCUCUACACCUUUCCACUUCCAUUAUAGUUUUCCUCCACUUCCAUUGUAAACCGAAACAUCGUAAAUUCACAAAAUGGUGAAACGACUUUGAGACUUUUUGUUUCCGGAUCCAUAGCAAAAACUCCAUAUCCCGACAAUGCCAAUCUUCUUGCAAUUCCUGCAAAAUCAAGCUAGUUAGCAAUCAAACAAGCCUCAUUUUAACAUACAAACCAUUUGCUAUUUAUGAAAAAUAAACAAACAUGCCUUCGAAGAAAAACGUGCAAGUAUCUCCAUAACCAUGGCAGAAACAAACCAAAGCUCUAGGCCUAGAAGCUUCAGGAAGCCAGCUUUUGGAGAAGAUCUCAACUCCUCUCGAAUUCACCUCAUAAGACUACAUAAACCAGAGAUCAUCACAAACAAGACAGUUGCUUCAAGCUAUAAACUAACUUUGAUUAAGGAAAAAUUGAAUUAAAACCUAAUCCUUGUCUUCUUUUACCUCCUUUGUCUUAAUCCCAGUCUCUGGUGUCUGCAACAUCACGAAAAACCAACACUUUUAAUAAAAAAACCACACAUCUCAAACAAAGCUGAAGCAGAUUGGUCUAAAGUCUCAACCUUUCUAAUACUCACUUCAAUUGGAAAGGACAAACAAACAAAAAGACUUAACAAUCUACUGAUUCAUUCAAUUUCGGAUGUUUAAAAAUCAACAAAUCUGGAUUCCAAAUAAGAAUAAAGCUCAAACUAAUCUGGAUUCCAAAUAAGAAUCAAGCUCAAACUAAUCUGGAGUUCAAAUGAAUGUUGUUCAUUUGACUACUCAGGCUAAUUAAAAUCACCAUUUUCAUGUCUAAACAAUAACAGUAUUAAUCAAUUUAAGAAUCGAUAAAGCGAGAUAUGAGGAAAAAGGGAGAAGCAUAUAACUCUAUCGAGAAGGUGAUAUCUGUUGAUGUUUGUCUCAGGAAGAGAAGGUGAGAAAGCUAGGGUUUUUACUGUCAAACAAAUAAACAAGUGUUAGAUUCAGUUGAACAAAACUCUUAUAAUGGUAUCAAAAGAAACACAUAAACAAUUUGUUAGAUUCGACAGACCAUUCUUAUUCUUCGUCUUCUGCUUUGGUUCUCUCAUAUUCGAGUCGGACAUGGCAAUGAAUUUGAGGUUUGAAGAAGUAGGAUGAGAGAAUUUUUUUCUGAAUCAGCGAAGAGAAGACCUAAUCUGAAUCAAUUUUGUUGUGAAUUUUGUUCUCAGUCGAGGAAAGGAAGAAAGGGUUGAAGAGAAUCUCGCCCCAGAGCGAUGAACGGAUGAGAUUAAAGGAAGAAAGGGUUGGGCGAUGAACGGAUGAGAUUACCUUAAACAUGCAGCCGCCAAAGCAUUUGAAAGGCUGAGAUGUCGCCACGUCAUGUAUCCGAGUGAAACAUUAUGAUUGGAUAGAGUAAAUUGAUCAGGUAUUAGAUCAGAUGAAUGGCUGAGAUCUCGCCACAUCAGCAAUUCGAGUGAAAUAUUAUGAUUGGCUUAUUUUGUUUAUAGGCAUAAAAAUGUGUUUUUACAAUUUAUAUAAUUUUAAAAAUUAUAUAUUGAUGAAUUAAUAUGUUUAUGAUUUAUUUACAUGAUUAGAUAACUUUUUCGCAAUUUAAAAAAAAUAUUUUGCAAUGUUUUUAGAAAUUUGAAGGUAACACAUAUGAUUCCCUUAUAAUACAUGCACACUAACCUUCUUAUUGUGUAAAUCAUAUUGUUGAAAUACAUUAAUGAUGUUAUAAUUAACAAAAUGAUUGAAUUCAUUUAUGUUAUAAUAGUAUACUUUAUAUCAUUAAUAUUAGCUACUAUUUAAAACCCUAAACCCUAAACCCUAAACCCUAAACCCUAUCAUUCCAUCUGUAGAAAGACCGAGUCGAAGGUUUCUUGGUUCUGCAGCAAACUCUGGC
Molecule: long non-coding RNA, 18067 nt
Filed under: Arabidopsis lyrata
Lineage: Eukaryota; Viridiplantae; Streptophyta; Magnoliopsida; Brassicales; Brassicaceae
Description: long non-coding RNA (ALYR_LNC002696)
Source: RNAcentral